CUCAUCAAUGGACUCCUGACGUAUACGAAGGAGUGCGGUUCAUUUGAGAAAUUCCUAUCUUUCUCUAUAUAUAUUUUCAAUUUAAUGGAGUGAACAGUAGGAACCGGAUUGUGAACCGUAGGAUCUGGAUAAGUGUGAAAACAAGGUCCAGAAGAAUUAACAGUAUGGAUUCCCUUGUUUAGAAAAGUAGAGAUAGAUAUAUGUUUGCUCAAACUCCAAAAUCCCCGAUUAGACCCCAGGUGGAUCUACCCUUGAGUGUAAACGGUGACUUACCCCACUAGACCUCAGGUGGUUGCACCGCUGUUGACAAAUACAUGCAUUCUUUGAAAUGUAGAAAACCAUGCAUUUUUAAUAUGUAAAAUUUAAUUUUUUAAUAAGGAUAGUUAAGCAAAGCAAGCUUUAUUUAUUUUUUAAUUAGAAUGGUUAAGUAGUAAUAUUUUUGUCUAUUUGAUUUGUUUUGCCUUUAGUAUAUUGGAGGGAGAUAUUGCAAUUUGUGGAAACGUAGUGAAGGGCAAGGUCAUGACAGAAGUAAGGCAGGCAAUGGAAGUUAAAGAGGGGCCGAGGAAGAGGAAAGUAGGAAACAAGAAAGCUAAAAAUGCAAAGAGAAAACAAAAAAUGAUGCCUCAAGGUGUUCAAAAGAAGGUGAAUAUUGACAAAAGAAUGAAAAAAUUGUUUCAGAAAAGAGCGAGGGAGUACAACUCAGAUGAUGAUGAUGUGGAGGACGAGGAGAAGCUUGAGCAGUCUGUACCUUCGACUCGAGAUAAGUUUAAGAAAGAUGAAUUC
This 783-nucleotide long non-coding RNA is filed under the name Olea europaea subsp. europaea. Lineage: Eukaryota; Viridiplantae; Streptophyta; Magnoliopsida; Lamiales; Oleaceae. The record is from RNAcentral.